RNAcentral lists this long non-coding RNA (1391 nucleotides) under Homo sapiens (human). RNAcentral's name for it is "HSALNT0246608". The record is from RNAcentral. Lineage: Eukaryota; Metazoa; Chordata; Mammalia; Primates; Hominidae.
GGCAGGCGUGCAGGGGCAAGGCAGGUGCGUAAGAGCGAGGCAGAUGCGCAGGUGCGCGGACCAGGUCCCGGUUCUGGCGGAUUUGGCCCAGGCACCCCCAGCCCCCAGGUAGGAGGCACAACCCUGCUCCCAAUGCCCAACACCUGCCCCCAAUGCCCAACACCUGCCCCACACACCUGAGGUACCUCCUGGGCGUCCCACACCAGGACAGGCCUGGAGACUUCCAGCCACUGCCACCUGGCACACCCAGCACCUGCAGAUCCACCACCUUAAAACCCACCUCUACUGCCCCAUGUCACGGUCCCUGCGGGGCCAGGCCUGCCUGGCACGUCCACCCCGGGUCUCCCUGCCUCACCCUCUUGCGCAUCCACAGUGAACAGGGGCAUCUUUCCAAAAUGCAGAUCUGGCCGGGUGCGGCGGCUCAUGCCUGUAAUCCCAGCACUUUGGGAGGCCGAAGCAGGUGGAUCACAUGAAGUCAGAAGUUGGAGACUAGCCUGGCCAACAUGCCAGCCUCCAGCAUCGCCUCCUCUGGGAUCUUCUCUGACUUCCCAGUCGGUUUCAGAAGCCUCUGAUGACCCCAUGCGGAGAAGACUGCUCCCCUCACUGCUGGCACACGGCAGAUGCUCAGUAAGUAUCGUUCAAUGACUGACUAAAUGUCUCAUAAUAUCCUUCAUAAACAAGGGCCUGGUGUGGAUUCAUAAAUGGGUCUCUCAAAGUUUAAUUGGUGAGACUCUGUUGUAUCAGACAAUGAAGGGUUAAAAGAUAAUAUUCAAAAAAGUAAAAUCAUGACACACAAAUCUAGAAUGAACACACAUUGAUAAGGUUUGGAUCUGUGUCCUCACCCAAACCUCAUGUCGAACUGGGAUCCCCCGUGUCAGAGGCGGCCGCGUGGGAGGUGACCGGAUCGCGGGUGGACCCUUCAUGAAGGGUUCAGCACCAUCCCCUUGGUGCUGUCCUGGGACAGAGUUCUCUUGCGAUCUGGUUGUUUAAACGUGUGUGGCCCCUUCCCCCUCUCUUUUCCUCCUCCUCCUGCCGUGGGAGACACUUGCUCCAGCUUCGCCUUCCGCCGCGAGUUGAAGCUCCCCGAGGCCUCCUCAGAAGCAGAAGCCACCACGCUUCCUGUACAGCCUGUGGGACCCGGAGCCAGUUCAACCUCUUUUCUUUAUAAAUUACCCAGACUCGGCCGGGCACGGUGGCUCACGCCUGUAAUCCCAGCACUUUGUUGAGACCGAGGCAGGCAGAUCACGAGGUCAGGAGAUCGAGAACAUCCUGGCUAACACGGUGAAACCCCGUCUCUACUAAAAAUACAAAAAAUUAGCCGGGCGUGGUGGCGGGCGCCUGUGGUCCCAGCUACUCGGGAGGCUGAGGCAGGAGAAUGGUGUGAACCCGGG